Molecule: transfer RNA, 82 nt
Filed under: Pseudomonadota bacterium
Lineage: Bacteria; Pseudomonadati; Pseudomonadota
Description: Proteobacteria bacterium (freshwater sediment metagenome) tRNA-Leu
Rfam family: tRNA
About the family: Transfer RNA (tRNA) molecules are approximately 80 nucleotides in length. Their secondary structure includes four short double-helical elements and three loops (D, anti-codon, and T loops).
Source: RNAcentral
GCCGCGGUGGCGGAAUUGGCAUACGCGUCAGACUUAGGAUCUGAUGCCGUAAGGCUUGUGGGUUCGAAUCCCACCCGCGGCA